GGCGGCAUGCUUUACACAUGCAAGUCGAACGGCAGCGCGGGGCAACCUGGCGGCGAGUGGCGAACGGGUGAGUAAUAUAUCGGAACGUACCCAGGAGUGGGGGAUAACGUAGCGAAAGUUACGCUAAUACCGCAUACGAUCUAUGGAUGAAAGUGGGGGAUCGCAAGACCUCAUGCUCAUGGAGCGGCCGAUAUCUGAUUAGCUAGUUGGUGGGGUAAAGGCUCACCAAGGCGACGAUCAGUAGCUGGUCUGAGAGGACGACCAGCCACACUGGAACUGAGACACGGUCCAGACUCCUACGGGAGGCAGCAGUGGGGAAUUUUGGACAAUGGGCGCAAGCCUGAUCCAGCAAUGCCGCGUGAGUGAAGAAGGCCUUCGGGUUGUAAAGCUCUUUUGUCAGGGAAGAAACGGCGGAGGCUAAUAUCCUCUGCUAAUGACGGUACCUGAAGAAUAAGCACCGGCUAACUACGUGCCAGCAGCCGCGGUAAUACGUAGGGUGCAAGCGUUAAUCGGAAUUACUGGGCGUAAAGCGUGCGCAGGCGGUUUUGUAAGUCUGACGUGAAAGCCCCGGGCUCAACCUGGGAAUUGCGUUGGAGACUGCAAGGCUUGAAUCUGGCAGAGGGGGGUAGAAUUCCACGUGUAGCAGUGAAAUGCGUAGAGAUGUGGAGGAACACCGAUGGCGAAGGCAGCCCCCUGGGUCAAGAUUGACGCUCAUGCACGAAAGCGUGGGGAGCAAACAGGAUUGGAUACCCUGGUAGUCCACGCCCUAAACGAUGUCUACUAGUUGUCGGGUCUUAAUUGACUUGGUAACGCAGCUAACG
This 821-nucleotide ribosomal RNA is filed under the name uncultured beta proteobacterium. RNAcentral describes it as "bacterial SSU rRNA". It matches the Rfam family "Bacterial small subunit ribosomal RNA", at positions 38 to 857 of the family's 1533-position model. The record is from RNAcentral. Lineage: Bacteria; Pseudomonadati; Pseudomonadota; Betaproteobacteria.